This 89-nucleotide transfer RNA is filed under the name Arthrobacter sp. RNAcentral describes it as "tRNA-Gly(tcc)". The record is from RNAcentral. Lineage: Bacteria; Bacillati; Actinomycetota; Actinomycetes; Micrococcales; Micrococcaceae.
GCCAACAUGGCAGGUGUUCCCGGGCUCUCCCUGCCCGGUGGCCUGGCCGAUGAGGACGGGUUGCCGGUUGGCAUCCAGCUGCUGGCCCC